Molecule: ribosomal RNA, 421 nt
Filed under: uncultured bacterium
Lineage: Bacteria
Description: bacterial SSU rRNA
Rfam family: Bacterial small subunit ribosomal RNA
Source: RNAcentral
GAGGAAUAUUGGGCAAUGCCCGCAAGGGUGACCCAGCAACGCCGCGUGGAGGAUGAACGUCGUAAGAUUGUAAACUCCUGUUAGAGGGGAAGAAUAGUACCGGUUGGACCGGUAUAUGACUGUACCCUCAGAGAAAGCCCCGGCUAACUACGUGCCAGCAGCCGCGGUAAUACGUAGGGGGCAAGCGUUGUCCGGAUUUACUGGGUGUAAAGGGCGCGCAGGCGGGAUAAAAAGUCAGUGGUGAAAUCCUACAGCUUAACUGUAGAACUGCCUUUGAUACUUUUAUUCUUGAGUUCGGGAGAGAGAGACGGAAUUCCAGGUGUAGUGGUGAAAUACGUAGAUAUCUGGAAGAACACCAGUUGCGAAGGCGGUCUCUUGGUCCGACACUGACGCUGAGGCGCGAAAGCGUGGGGAGCAAACA